CUCAAAUUGGAAAACCCAAACUCAGCGGUCAAAACUGUAUUGUUGAAGGUGAUGGUUGAGAUUUUUUUUUUCCUUAAAAGGAAUCUAAGUUAAAGAUGAGAAGAAAUAAAUCUUUUUUUUUUUUUUUUUACAGGUCUAGCUUCACUUUCUCUCCCCAUUUGAAUAACAAGAAAACUUUUGUGACCCAAAAGCUUAGUUUUCCUCUUCUCACAGUAUCUUUUCCAAGACUUGAGCAGAAUAUUAAGGGCAAUCAAGGCUAAUAAGUGACUGACACUUCUGACUACUGUGCCACCUAGCUGCCCCCUCUUUUUUUGUUUCCUAAAAGAGAUUGACAUGGUCCAGAAGAGAUCAUGUAUAAUUGUGGAAAGAAGAAGGGAUCUGAAAUAAAAAAAAAAUACAUCCGAUCCAUUUACUACCUGAAAGACCUUAAACUUAAACUCACUUAAAUUCUCUUGAGUCAAAGCCAAAAAAGACUUCAAAUAUUGGCCAGGCACUGAAUCUCCUGAGGGGAGAGACAUGGAGUUCAAAGGAAGGAAUAUAACUUUUGUUUUAUUUAAAGGAUGAGAGUUAUGGAAUAUUAUUGUUCUGUAAGAAAUGAUCAGCAGGAUGAAUACAGAGAGGCUUGGAGAGACUUAAAUGAACUGAUGCUAAGUGAAAUGAGCAGAACCAGGAGAUCAUUAUACACUUCAACAACGAUGUUGUAUGAGGAUGUAUUCUGAUGGAACUCGAUUUCUUUGACAAAGAAACCUAACUGAGUUUCAAUUGAUAAAUGAUGGACAGAAGCAGCUACAUCCAAAGAAAGAACACUGGGAAAUGAAUGUGAACUAUUUGCAUUUUUGUUUUUCUUCCCGGGUUAUUUUUACCUUCUGAAUCCAAUUCUCCCUGUGCAACAAGAGAACUGUUUGGUUCUGAAAACGUAUAUUGUAUCUAGGAUAUACUGCAACAUAUUUAACAUAUAUAGGACUGCUUGCCAUCUGGGGGAGGGGGUGGAGGGAGGAAGGGGAAAAAUCGGAACAGAAGCAAGUGCAAGGGAUAAUGUUAUAAAAAAAAAAUUACCCUGGCAUGGAUUCUUCAAUAAAAAGGUAUUAUAAAAUAAACAAACAAAUAAAUAAAUAUUUUUUUAAAUUACAAAAAUAAAUAA
Antechinus flavipes (yellow-footed antechinus) is the source of this 1141-nucleotide long non-coding RNA. RefSeq lists it as uncharacterized. The record is from RefSeq and is a predicted model, not a curated record. NCBI's taxonomy places the organism in Eukaryota, Metazoa, Chordata, Mammalia, Dasyuromorphia, Dasyuridae. The transcript has 3 exons.